UGGAGUAAAACUUAUAAAAGACGACCUCAGUUCGGAUUGAAGGCUGAAAUUCGCCUUCAUGAAGUCGGAAUUGCUAGUAAUGGCAGGUCAGCAUACUGCCGUGAAUACGUUCCCGGGCCUUGUACACACCGCCCGUCACACCAUGAGAGUUGGGAAUGCCCGAAGCCUGUGAGCUAACUUUUAGAGGCAGCAGUCGAAGGUAGAAUCAAUGAUUGGGGUGAAGUCGUAACAAGGUAAC
Molecule: ribosomal RNA, 238 nt
Filed under: uncultured bacterium
Lineage: Bacteria
Description: partial 16S ribosomal RNA
Rfam family: Bacterial small subunit ribosomal RNA
Source: RNAcentral